RNAcentral lists this ribosomal RNA (825 nucleotides) under uncultured Clostridium sp. RNAcentral's name for it is "bacterial SSU rRNA". It matches the Rfam family "Bacterial small subunit ribosomal RNA", at positions 1 to 817 of the family's 1533-position model. Lineage: Bacteria; Bacillati; Bacillota; Clostridia; Eubacteriales; Clostridiaceae. The record is from RNAcentral.
GUUUGAUCCUGGCUCAGGUCGUAACAAGGUAGCCGUGUUUGAUCCUGGCUCAGGACGAACGCUGGCGGCGUGCCUAACACAUGCAAGUCGAGCGAAGAAGUCCCUUCGGGGAUGGAUUAGCGGCGGACGGGUGAGUAACACGUGGGUAACCUGGCUCAAAGAGGGGGAUAGCCUCCCGAAAGGGGGAUUAAUACCGCAUAAAAGGUAAAUAUCGCAUGGUAAAUACCUUAAAGGAGAAAUCCGCUUUGAGAUGGGCCCGCGUCGCAUUAGCUAGUUGGAGGGAUAAAGGCCCCCCAAGGCGACGAUGCGUAGCCGACCUGAGAGGGUGAACGGCCACAUUGGAACUGAGAUACGGUCCAGACUCCUACGGGAGGCAGCAGUGGGGAAUAUUGCACAAUGGGGGAAAUCCUGAUGCAGCAACGCCGCGUGAGUGAAGAAGGUUUUCGGAUCGUAAAGCUCUGUCAUCCGGGACGAUAAUGACGGUACCGGAAGAGGAAGCCACGGCUAACUACGUGCCAGCAGCCGCGGUAAUACGUAGGUGGCGAGCGUUGUCCGGAAUUACUGGGCGUAAAGGGUGUGCAGGCGGAUAUUUAAGUGAGAUGUGAAAGACCCGGGCUUAACCCGGGCAGUGCAUUUCAAACUGGAUAUCUAGAGUGCAGGAGAGGAGAACGGAAUUCCUAGUGUAGCGGUGAAAUGCGUAGAGAUUAGGAAGAACACCAGUGGCGAAGGCGGUUCUCUGGACUGNUACUGACGCUGAGGCACGAAAGCGUGGGUAGCAAACAGGAUUAGAUACCCUGGUAGUCCACGCCGUAAACGAUGAGUACU